UGGGGAAUUUUGGACAAUGGGCGAAAGCCUGAUCCAGCAAUGCCGCGUGUGUGAAGAAGGCCUUCGGGUUGUAAAGCACUUUUGUCCGGAAAGAAAUCCUCUGGGUUAAUACCUCGGGGGGAUGACGGUACCGGAAGAAUAAGCACCGGCUAACUACGUGCCAGCAGCCGCGGUAAUACGUAGGGUGCAAGCGUUAAUCGGAAUUACUGGGCGUAAAGCGUGCGCAGGCGGUUUUGUAAGACGGAUGUGAAAUCCCCGGGCUUAACCUGGGAACUGCAUUCGUGACUGCAAGGCUAGAGUAUGGCAGAGGGGGGUAGAAUUCCACGUGUAGCAGUGAAAUGCGUAGAGAUGUGGAGGAAUACCGAUGGCGAAGGCAGCCCCCUGGGCCAAUACUGACGCUCAUGCACGAAAGCGUGGGGAGCAAACAGGAUUAGAUACCCUGGUAGUCCACGCCCUAAAACGAUGUCAACUAGUUGUUGGGGAUUCAUUUCCUUAGUAACGUAGCUAACGCGUGAAGUUGACCGCCUGGGGAGUACGGUCGCAAGAUUAAAACUUAAAGGAAUUGACGGGGUCAUAGCUGUUUCC
This 585-nucleotide ribosomal RNA is filed under the name uncultured bacterium. RNAcentral's name for it is "partial 16S ribosomal RNA". It matches the Rfam family "Bacterial small subunit ribosomal RNA", at positions 355 to 937 of the family's 1533-position model. The record is from RNAcentral.